UACGUAGGUGGCAAGCGUUGUCCGGAUUUACUGGGCGUAAAGAGCGCGCAGGCGGUCGUUCAAGUCGCGUGUGAAAGCCCCCGGCUCAACUGGGGAGGGUCACGCGAUACUGAUCGACUCGAAGGCAGGAGAGGGUAGUGGAAUUCCCGGUGUAGUGGUGAAAUGCGUAGAUAUCGGGAGGAACACCAGUGGCGAAGGCGGCUACCUGGCCUGUUUCUUGACGCUGAGGCGCGAAAGCUAGGGGAGCAAACGGG
RNAcentral lists this ribosomal RNA (254 nucleotides) under uncultured bacterium. RNAcentral's name for it is "partial 16S ribosomal RNA". It matches the Rfam family "Bacterial small subunit ribosomal RNA", at positions 524 to 776 of the family's 1533-position model. The record is from RNAcentral.